GGGGGGGGGGGGGGGGGGGGGGGGGGGGGGGGGGGGGGGCGGGGGGGGCGGGGGUGGGGGGGGGGGUCGAGUGGCGAGGGGGGGAGUAACACGUGGGUAACCUGCCCUUGCCGUUGGGAUAACGGGAGGGGCCUGGGGCUACUACCGGAUAGGAGCUCCUGCUGCGUGUUGGGGUUGGUAACGUUUCGGCGGGUGGGGCUGGACUCGCGGCUUAUCAGCUUGUGGGUGGGGUAGUGGCUUACCAAGGCUUUGACGGGUAGCCGGCCUGAGAGGGUGACCGGCCACAUUGGGACGGAGAUACGGCCCAGACUCCUACGGGAGGCAGCAGUGGGGAAUAUUGCACAAUGGGCGGAAGCCUGAUGCAGCAACGCCGCGUGCGGGAUGACGGCCUUCGGGUUGUAAGCCGCUUUCGCCUGUGACGAAGCGUGAGUGACGGUAAUGGGUAAAGAAGCACCGGCUAACUACGUG
This 468-nucleotide ribosomal RNA is filed under the name uncultured bacterium. Its description in RNAcentral is "partial 16S ribosomal RNA". It matches the Rfam family "Bacterial small subunit ribosomal RNA", at positions 38 to 507 of the family's 1533-position model. The record is from RNAcentral.